GAAGAAGCUCCCAAGGGUUGGGCUGUUCGCCCAUUAAAGAGGCACGCGAGCUGGGUUCAGACCGUCGUAAGACAGGUCGGUCUCCUAUCCACUAUGGUCGUGGAAACUUGAGAAGUCCGUUCCCUAGUACGAGAGGACCGGGAAUGACGAAGCUCUAGUGUACCGGCUGUCCCACCAGGGGCACUGUCGGGUAGCUACCUUCGGUUUGGAUAAGCGCUGAAAGCAUCUAAGCGCGAAGCCGUCUUCAAGAUUAGGUUUCAUAGAAUCGUCGGAGACUACGACGUUGAUAGGCUCUAUGUGUAAGCACAGUAAUGUGUUCAGCAGAGGAGUACUAAUAAUUCAUUUGAUUUU
The sequence is a ribosomal RNA, 351 nucleotides long. It matches the Rfam family "Bacterial large subunit ribosomal RNA", at positions 2555 to 2925 of the family's 2925-position model.